Molecule: ribosomal RNA, 245 nt
Filed under: uncultured bacterium
Lineage: Bacteria
Description: partial small subunit ribosomal RNA
Rfam family: Bacterial small subunit ribosomal RNA
Source: RNAcentral
AGAAUCAACGCUGGCGGCGUGCCUAACACAUGCAAGUCGAACGAGAAAGGGGAGCAAUCCCUGAGUAAAGUGGCGCACGGGCGAGUAACACGUGAAUAAUCUACCUCCGAGUGGGGAAUAACUGAGAGAAAUCUUAGCUAAUACCGCAUAACACUUACGAGUCAAAGCAGCAAUGCGCUUGGAGAGGAGUUCGCGGCCGAUUAGUUAGUUGGCGGGGUAAUGGCCCACCAAGACGAUGAUCGGUA